RNAcentral lists this ribosomal RNA (702 nucleotides) under uncultured Peptococcaceae bacterium. Its description in RNAcentral is "bacterial SSU rRNA". It matches the Rfam family "Bacterial small subunit ribosomal RNA", at positions 29 to 737 of the family's 1533-position model. Lineage: Bacteria; Bacillati; Bacillota; Clostridia; Eubacteriales; Peptococcaceae. The record is from RNAcentral.
ACGAACGCUGGCNGCNUGCUUAACACAUGCAUUUCGAACGGAGUUUAAGAGGAAGCUUGCGAAUCUUAAACUUAGUGGCGGACGGGUGAGUAACGCGUGGAUAACCUGCCUGAAUGACUGGGACAACACCGGGAAACUGGUGCUAAUACCGGAUACGCUCAUCAUUGCGCAGGCAAAGGUGAGGAAAGGAGAAAUCCGCAUACAGAUGGGUCCGCGUCCCAUUAGCUAGUUGGCGGUGUAAGAGACCACCAAGGCGACGAUGGGUAGCCGGCCUGAGAGGGUGGACGGCCACACUGGAACUGAGACACGGUCCAGACUCCUACGGGAGGCAGCAGUGGGGAAUCUUCCGCAAUGGGCGAAAGCCUGACGGAGCAACGCCGCGUGAGUGAGGAAGGCCUUCGGGUCGUAAAACUCUGUCUUCAGGGAAGAAAAAAAUGACGGUACCUGAGGAGGAAGCCCCGGCUAACUACGUGCCAGCAGCCGCGGUAAAACGUAGGGGGCGAGCGUUGUCCGGAAUUACUGGGCGUAAAGGGCGCGUAGGCGGUUAUUUAAGUCAGAGGUGAAAACUACCGGCUCAACCGGUAGCCUGCCUUUGAAACUGGAUGACUUGAGGGCAGGAGAGGGGAGUGGAAUUCCCAGUGUAGCGGUGAAAUGCGUAGAUAUUGGGAGGAACACCAGUGGCGAAGCGGCUCUCUGGCCUGU